RNAcentral lists this long non-coding RNA (1629 nucleotides) under Trifolium pratense (red clover). Its description in RNAcentral is "long non-coding RNA (TPRA_LNC000788)". The record is from RNAcentral. Lineage: Eukaryota; Viridiplantae; Streptophyta; Magnoliopsida; Fabales; Fabaceae.
GUACUCAACAAAUAUUGUCACAACCAGUUUAGAGCUUUAUUUCCACUAAAAUUAGUCCAAUGAGUUAAAUUCCAUCCUGAAUAUCAAUUAAUAUGUUAUAUCACUAUAUUAUAUAAAUAAGGAAAUAAAUACGAAAUUAAAAUAAACUGAAUAAUCCAAAGAUCAUAUUAUGUUAGGCGGACAAUACAACAGGAUUAAUCAUUGGGACAUAACAUCAAUUAAAAAGCUUAUAAAGAACUAUAAAACAUAGAAGUAUGUAUGUAAUGCAUUACUGAAUUAUUUAAUUAUACUGAAGAAACAGUUCGUUUCAUUGCUUAUCAUAAAAUAUGGAACCGAAGUCAUCUUCACCUUAAUGAAUGAUGAGGAUGAUCUAACAGAAGACUUGAUAUCACAGCAUUGCUUCAAUGAAAUUAAGACCAGUUGCAUCUUCAUGAUCCUCUGAUAUACAACACACUCCUCUUGCUGGAAGACAAUCUUAGUCCAAGAUUAUCCAAAAUAACGGAUCCAUUUACAGAGCUAAAUUGCUGACAACAGAUUCUCACAAUUCUCGAGAUUGGAACUAUCACUGCACUAUAGAAUUACAAUACAAUUGUUCACAGCCGAAGCUGAAACUCCGUUUUACAUUUGUUAUGUUACAAAAGCAACAGCUGAUUAACAUGACUGGGCAGAUCAAAUGAGAUUAACCACUGGUAGUAAUAUUCAUAAGUAUAAUACUUGAAAGAAACCAAGUAAAUAAUAUAACUUGAUAAUAUAAUAACAAAUUAGGGACCAAAUUAAAUUCGACCAAAUUAAUUAGCACAAUUGAUCAUGUAGAAGAUUGCUGAUGAACCAUAAGCGAAAGCUGAAUAAUAAUAAUAUUGUUCAAACAACAAACGUGUCGAUAUGGGUUGAUUCAAAGGGAGCCAAUUGGAUUUGAAAUGUCUGACUUGAUUUUAAGGAAGUUAAGUUGGAUUUGAAAUGUCUGAUACUUUGAACAAAAGAUAAUUUAGACUUGAAGAAAACCUAUGAAACAUUUGUGAUGAUCUAAUAAAUUUCAAUUAGAACUAAUUUUAGCUGCAUGAUUAAUUACUUCUAAAUUUAAAUCAAUAAUAAUUAAUUCGAAUGAAAUUCGAUAGAUGAUACCUUGUUAUGUAGUAGUUGAAAAUCUUCGAUGAAUCCAUCCCGUGCAGAGUAUUGGAACGUAGAUAGUAGCGCAAGAUACGUAAUAAUAAAGAGGCAUAAUGAAAAGUAGCAAGGCAAGGCAACACCACACACAGGGGAAAGAGAUCCCGGGCAAAAAUCCCCGUGCGAUCUCCUCCCAAAAACCAACGAAACUUUUUUUUUAUUAUUUUUUUUGACCUGCCAAGCAAGCGCACCUGACAUGGCAAAGGUCGGAUGACAAGAUCAGUCAGGAUUUAAUCCUCAACACACUCAGCGUGCCGAGGCAUAUAAUCCUGAUACAUCCUACAUCCAUAUUAUAUUUUACCCUACCCGUAACUCUCAAUCAUCAUAUACAAUAAUAAUACGAAUUCACCAUCAACAUCAAUAGCUUGUAUAUCAGAAGCCGAUGCAUCCAUAAUUAUAACCAUCAAGGUGAAAUCUCCAUAAUUCAACAAUUCAACGCCGGAUCUACGAUCUGUUCAACGNNNN